AAAAGAACUUUGAAGAGAGAGUUCAAAAGGGCGUGAAACCGCUUAGAAUAAAACGGACGGAGCCGUCGGUAGCCUUCGGGAAUCAGUCGUAUUAGAGAUGAACCCGUUAUCGAUCGCCGGAACGCAAGUCCGGUCGGUGCGGCGAAUCUUAGUAGUCUCGAGGCGACGCAUUUCUCGAAGGUAAGCGCCGCGACCGAUACGAUAGGCCGACGACGCGCUUCAGUUGAGGUCGACCGAUCGCAAGAUCGGUCGUAACCAGCUGGUUGCGCCGCACAUGCGUCGGACCGCAGUAUGUAUCGAGCGCCCGCGAAUCAUGAACACCGGCCCUGCGCGGCUCGUCGGAGCGACGGAUAGUCGAUCGAUUAGACCCGGCUUGCGUGCCAAGUCGGGACGAACUCGGUCGGCUCAGAAAUCGCCGGCGAUUUUCGGUGUUCGGGCGUCCGCGGCGUCAGCGUCGGUCACCCGUCCGACCCGUCUUGAAACACGGACCAAGGAGUCUAACAUAUGCGCGAGCCAAUGGGUGUUUAAAACCUACGGGCGCAAUAAAAGUGAAGACUAUCUAAUAGAUGGUUAAGGUACGAUCCUCGGCCCGUUAAACGGUCGCAGGCGCAGUACCGUCCCGUCCUAAUCGUUUAUCGAUAGGGCGGAGACAGAGUGCAUACGUUGGGACCCGAAAGAUGGUGAACUAUGCCCGAGCAGAGCGAAGCCAGAGGAAACUCUGGUGGAGGUUCGUAGCGGUUCUGACGUGCAAAUCGAUCGUCAGAC
This 765-nucleotide ribosomal RNA is filed under the name Metaporcelaimus capitatus. RNAcentral describes it as "eukaryotic LSU rRNA". It matches the Rfam family "Eukaryotic large subunit ribosomal RNA", at positions 367 to 910 of the family's 3401-position model. Lineage: Eukaryota; Metazoa; Nematoda; Enoplea; Dorylaimida; Aporcelaimidae. The record is from RNAcentral.